RNAcentral lists this unclassified non-coding RNA (211 nucleotides) under plant metagenome. RNAcentral describes it as "partial contains small subunit ribosomal RNA, internal transcribed spacer 1, and 5.8S ribosomal RNA". The record is from RNAcentral.
UUUCCGUAGGUGAGCCUGCGGAAGGAUCAUUCAUAAUAAAGUGUUUUAUGGCACUUUUUAAAAAUCCAUAUCCACCUUGUGUGCAAUGUUAGAUCUCGUCAAUCUUGGCGAGAUUUUUAUACAUCAACUCAUUCUUUAACUAAUUUGUCUGAAAAAUAUUAUGAAUACUUAAUUCAAAAUACAACUUUCAACAACGGAUCUCUUGGCUCUC